AUGUCUCAUUAUCAGCACAAACAGCCCGUGAGCCUUCCCCCUGCCUUUAACCAGGAGCAGCGUAAGCAGCCCCUGCCUCAGAUCCCUGUCCCUGUCCCAUGGGAACAAGUGAAGCAGCCCACACCAGUACCUGCACCAUGCCCAGUGCCUGAGCAAGUCCCAGCUGUGCAAGAAGAGCCCACCAUUCCUGUGAAGAGAGUUCCUGUUCUUAUUCCACAGCCAGAGCAGAAAGGAGAUCAGCAACCAGAACAGCAGAGGGAACAUAAAGAAGAGCAGCAGCUGGAACAUAAGCAAGUGGAGCAGCUUGAAGAGCAGCUGGAACAUAAACAGGAACAGCAGCUGGAAGAGCAGCUGGAGCAACAGCUGGAACAUAAACAAGAACAGCAGCUGGAACAUAAGCAAGUGGAGCAGCUGGAAGAGCAGCUGGAACAUAAACAAGAACAGCAGCUGGAACAUAAACAGGAACAGGAGCUGGAAGAGCAGCUGGAGCAACAGCUGGAACAUAAACAAGAACAGCAGCUGGAACAUAAGCAAGUGGAGCAGCUGGAAGAGCAGCUGGAACAUAAACAAGAACAGCAGCUGGAACAUAAACAGGAACAGGAGCUGGAAGAGCAGCUGGAGCAACAGCUGGAACAUAAACAAGAACAGCAGCUGGAACAUAAGCAAGUGGAGCAGCUGGAAGAGCAGCUGGAACAUAAGCAAGUGGAGCAGCUGGAAGAGCAGCUGGAACAUAAGCAAGUGGAGCAGCUGGAAGAGCAGCUGGAACAUAAACAAGAACAGCAGCUGGAAGAGCAGUUGGAGCAACAGCUGGAAAAUAAGCAAGAGCAACAGCUGGAGCAUAAGCAAGAGCAGCAGCUGGAAAAUAAGCAAGAGCAACAGCUGGAGCAUAAGCAAGAGCAGCAGCUGGAAAAGCAGCUGGAGCAUAAGCAAAAGCAGCUGGAGCAACAGCUGGAACAUAAACAAGAACAGCAGCUGGAACAUAAGCAAGUGGAGCAGCUGGAAGAGCAGCUGGAACAUAAGCAAGUGGAGCAGCUGGAAGAGCAGCUGGAACAUAAACAAGAACAGCAGCUGGAAGAGCAGUUGGAGCAACAGCUGGAAAAUAAGCAAGAGCAACAGCUGGAGCAUAAGCAAGAGCAGCAGCUGGAAAAGCAGCUGGAGCAUAAGCAAAAGCAGCAGCUAGAAAAGCAGCUGGAGCAACAGCUGGAACAUAAACAAGAACAGCAGCUGGAACAUAAGCAAGUGGAGCAGCUGGAACAUAAACAAGAACUGCAGCUGGAAGAGCAGCUGGAACAUAAACAAGAACAGCAGCUGGAAGAGCAGUUGGAGCAACAGCUGGAGCAUAAGCAAGAGCAGCAGCUAGAAAGGCAGCUGGAGCAACAGCUGGAAAAUAAGCAAGAGCAGCUGGAACAUAAACAAGAACAGCAGCUGGAACAUAAGCAAGUACAACAGCUGGAGCAUAAGCAAGAGCAGCAGCUGGAAGAGCAGCUGGAACAUGAACAAGAACAGCAGCUGGAGCAACAGCUGGAACAUAAGCAAGAGCAACAGCUGGAGCAUAAGCAAGAGCAGCAGCUGGAAAAGCAGCUGGAAGAGCAGUUGGAGCAACAGCUGGAAAAUAAGCAAGAGCAACAGCUGGAACAAAAACAAGAACAGCAGCUAGAAGAGCAGCUGGAGCAGCAGCUGGAGCAGAAGGAAGAGGAGCUGAAGCAGCAGCUGGAGCCAGGGCAGGAGCCUGAAGGGUGCGUUGAAGUUACCAUCCCCAUGAAAGAUCCUGAGCAGGUCCCACAGGCUCCAGAAAAGAGCUUCCCUUCCGCGGAGCAGCAGCAGCAGAAGCAGCAGGUGCACUGGCCCUUCAAACAAUAA
This is a long non-coding RNA of Phascolarctos cinereus (koala), 1860 nucleotides long. NCBI's taxonomy places the organism in Eukaryota, Metazoa, Chordata, Mammalia, Diprotodontia, Phascolarctidae. The record is from Ensembl.